UUGAACGCUGGCGGCAGGCCUAACACAUGCAAGUCGAACGGUAACAGGAAUCAGCUUGCUGAUUCGCUGACGAGUGGCGGACGGGUGAGUAAUGUCUGGGAAACUGCCUGAUGGAGGGGGAUAACUACUGGAAACGGUAGCUAAUACCGCAUAACGUCGCAAGACCAAAGAGGGGGACCUUCGGGCCUCUUGCCAUCGGAUGUGCCCAGAUGGGAUUAGCUAGUAGGUGGGGUAAAGGCUCACCUAGGCGACGAUCCCUAGCUGGUCUGAGAGGAUGACAAGCCACACUGGAACUGAGACACGGUCCAGACUCCUACGGGAGGCAGCAGUGGGGAAUAUUGCACAAUGGGCGCAAGCCUGAUGCAGCCAUGCCGCGUGUAUGAAGAAGGCCUUCGGGUUGUAAAGUACUUUCAGCGGGGAGGAAGGGAGUAAAGUUAAUACCUUUGCUCAUUGACGUUACCCGCAGAAGAAGCACCGGCUAACUCCGUG
Molecule: ribosomal RNA, 489 nt
Filed under: uncultured bacterium
Lineage: Bacteria
Description: partial 16S ribosomal RNA
Rfam family: Bacterial small subunit ribosomal RNA
Source: RNAcentral